RNAcentral lists this ribosomal RNA (451 nucleotides) under uncultured bacterium. RNAcentral describes it as "bacterial SSU rRNA". It matches the Rfam family "Bacterial small subunit ribosomal RNA", at positions 354 to 796 of the family's 1533-position model. The record is from RNAcentral.
GUGGGGAAUAUUGGACAAUGGGCGAAAGCCUGAUCCAGCCAUGCCGCGUGUGUGAAGAAGGCCUUUUGGUUGUAAAGCACUUUAAGCGAGGAGGAGGCUACCGAGAUUAAUACUCUUGGAUAGUGGACGUUACUCGCAGAAUAAGCACCGGCUAACUCUGUGCCAGCAGCCGCGGUAAUACAGAGGGUGCAAGCGUUAAUCGGAUUUACUGGGCGUAAAGCGCGCGUAGGUGGCCAAUUAAGUCAAAUGUGAAAUCCCCGAGCUUAACUUGGGAAUUGCAUGCGUUACUGGUUGGCUAGAGUAUGGGAGAGGAUGGUAGAAUUCCAGGUGUAGCGGUUAAAUGCGUAGAGAUCUGGAGGAAUACCGAGGGCGAAGGCAGGCAUCUGGCCUAAUACUGACACUGAGGUGCGAAAGCAUGGGGAGCAAACAGGAUUAGAAACCCUGGUAGUCC